CAGUCGCCGCGGUAAUACGGAGGGAGCUAGCGUUGUUCGGAAUUACUGGGCGUAAAGCGCACGUAGGCGGUUAUUCAAGUCAGAGGUGAAUGCCCGGGGCUCAACCCCGGAACUGCCUUUGAAACUAGAUGACUAGAAUCUUGGAGAGGUCAGUGGAAUUCCGAGUGUAGAGGUGAAAUUCGUAGAUAUUCGGAAGAACACCAGUGGCGAAGGCGACUGACUGGACAAGUAUUGACGCUGAGGUGCGAAAGCGUGGGGAGCAAACAGGAUUAGAUACCCCGGUAGUCCCUGUCUCUUAUAC
Molecule: ribosomal RNA, 301 nt
Filed under: uncultured bacterium
Lineage: Bacteria
Description: partial 16S ribosomal RNA
Rfam family: Bacterial small subunit ribosomal RNA
Source: RNAcentral